GGGAGGGCCUGCACCUGCUGAGCAUGCACGCGGCAGGCUCACCUGAAGCCCGAAGGUGAGCCCGCACAACGCACGCACAUAAGCACGCACGCGCACGCACGGAGGCUCGCUGGAAGCUUGGAGGCGAGCCUGCACGAUGCUCGCACAUGAGCGAGCACGCACGCGUACACACGAGGCACGCAGGUGGGCAUGCGUGCGUUAGGUGUACCUGUACACUUGCUGCCCCCCUGAUGAUUUGCUCAACAGUGUCUGCAAUUGGCAGCCAGAAGGAGUCCGCAAGAAGCAGGAGGGUUCGGACCUGAGACCGGGCCACAGGAGGAAGGCCAGGAUCCGGAAGCGCAAGCCUCAUCUUGCAGCCUGAGGGAACAGCCUCAUAUUCAGGCUUCCUUUUGCCUUCUCUGCUUCACCUUGAUUGAAGCUACCCUUCUCUGCACCUUCUUUAAGACUAUCCUAAACAUCCUGCCAUUAAUUAGCUGAACAGCCCAUCUAGUAAACAAGACCGACGGUUGAGGGGCUGGAAAAGAGGAGGAGUCAGCAAGUUGAAAGUCACAACAAACCAGCCCACUCCCUCAGAUAAAAGAAAGGCACAUCACAGUUGUCACAUCAGCAGGCUAGAAAAGCCAUCCCAUUCCUGCGGUAGGCAUUCUGUCAAAGAAAAAGAAAUCUGCAAUGAAUUAUCACAUCAAGUCAAACAAGGAAAGGAGGCAAAAAGCAAGCAGAGCCCUCUUCCUGUUUUGUAGACUCUGCUGGCUACAAUCUAAUAGAAUGCUUAAUCUGAAUAUUUCUGGUGGCAAAACUAUAGCAACCAUUCUGUCUAUUAAAAAGUCAGUGUGGUUAACAAGUGGUUAGUGAUUCUAUUUUUGGGAAGUAGCAGAUACAUAAAGUAAGACAUCCCAUUUUGUUAACUGAUUGGGCUUGGUUAUGCCAAAGAGAUGUAUUGAAUCUGUUUGUCUUUUAUAAACAUGUGUUCUCUAUUCGAUAUGCUCAGGAAUCACUUCUAACUAAGUAUCUUAAUAGUCUAUAAAUUACUGACUCAUUACUGGCCCUUCCCGGGCCUAAUUUAUAGUCUGAGUGAAAAGCUUUCGGAACAGACACUAAUAGAGGCCUCUCCUCCUCCCUAAAAUAUGAUGAUCUCAAAGGAGUUCUGUAUAGUUCUGCAUAUUGUAGACAGUAUCAAAAAUGCAAAUCUUAUAUAAUUUUAUAUACAUACCUGUAGGUACAGAUGUACACAUGGAUAUGCAUGGUGGGAUAAAAUACUCCCAUAAAAGAAAAUGGGAAAAUGGAUUCUAAGUGCAAUAAUUAAUACAUUUCAGUAAAGAAAGAAAAGUUGCAUGCUUUUCAUUCCAAGAGACAUAUUUUGCAUUUCAGUGUUAGGAGACCUGGAUCACACAGGGUCUCUGUAACAUCCUGAAUCUCACCAUAAGACCCAGAGGGGAGCAGAACUAAAAUUCAGGACUUAGGAAUAAAAUUUCCCUUUCCCUGGCACAUUUUUAAUCAUUUAAACUAGUAACAGUCACAUCCAGAGAAUUCAUAACUGUCAAUCUUUUCAGAAAAACAAAGAAAAUCAUAAAAUUCAGGUUAGGGAUUUUUUCCCCCUUAGGCUAAUAACUCUGAAGCAGUUCUGGAGUCUGUAUACUUCCAGCCCAAUGAAUUAACCUUGAACAGCCACAGCCAUAUUUUAAGAAAUACAGAAUAACCUUUUACGAUCAAGAUAAUGCUAUGGAGGCAGUGAAAUCUUCAUCUUAAAAAAUAAUUAAACCACAUUUAUAAUUUAUACUAAAAAUGGAAAGUAGACUUAACCCUUUUAGAAAGACCUCCAUCAACAUGAGGUGAAACAAAUAUAGUUUUCUAGAUAACCUUCUGUUAAUCAUAAAAUUCAAUUAACUUGAAAACCUUCUCUCCAAAUAUCCUGCUUAAGAAGAUUUACUAUGCUUGUCAGGCUUUGGCGCCCUGGCUGAAAUGUCUUCGGUUAGUUAUGCUGCUAUGCAGUUCACUCCAGAUCAGUGUAUCAGGGAUGACAAAACAGUGGCACAUUCCAAGUGUCAUUCCUCAGUGUUCUUUCUGUGAGCUUGUUCUUUACCAUGGGGCUUUUUGUGUUGUAGAACACUUCUGGAUUGAAGAAAACAUUCUAACAAGGACUAGAACAUUCCAACUCUACUUCCUAAAAUUGCGCUAUAGAACAGUGUUAAGUGAAUGCCUCAGAGAGUCACAAAUAACUUGCAGGAAUGCAUAGGAUGUCUUCCCACAACCACAGGCAGUGGAGCCUCAGUCUGUGAAACAGCUCCUACCACCACGGCUGCCUUACAGAGAGGCUUAUGCCAAAGUAAUACUCCUAGCUUCUUGACCUUGAUAUUUUAAAUUUUACAACCACAGUGACAAUCUUUAACAUCAUGUAUUAUUUAAAGCACAGGGAUGGUUUUAUAUGGAGUUAAAUGGACCUAGGAGUAAGGCUGCAUUCCUUCUAAACAUACAGUGUUGAAGUGAGCCUUGCUUGAGAAAGGAGGUUUUGGCUUAGAGGGAGACUGAGUCUUAGCUGAGUUCACCUGAGAAAUAACCAGGUUUUAAUCUUUUCAGACGGGGCAAUAUAAAAUAGUUCUUAUUAGCAUGGAAAAGGUCACUUUUGAAAGAUCGAUUCGAUUCACCUUCACAGAUGAUUUAUCACUGCUUUGCAAACAAAAUAUUUUUUUUAAUAACUUAUUCAAUAACACAGAUCCUAUGAGAAAACCAAAGUUUAGAGUUGACCCAGAUUUCUGUGAUGUUCUUCCUAUUUGAAUUCUAAAAUAAAGAAGGAAUAAACAAGCAUGUGUAAUUAGUGAAGAGCAAUUUCAGUAAACAUAUUCCCUAGGGUCCUCUAUUUUGAGUCACUGCUUUUUCCUUUUGAUGUACAAAGGAUGUACAUUGUCUAUGUAGGGCAAUUAUGGUAACGGCCCAACUUUGGCAUGCUUUCCAGAGUAAGCAACUUUACAGGAAGAUGGAUGAAGACAGCUCAUCUUCACGUCAACUGUAAAGUUCUCUCUAUUUGUGUUGCAAAUGUUGAAACUAAAUUUAAACAUUGCUUGGUGUGAGGGCCUUCCAGAGGCCACAUUCUCAUGGAAUACUUUGUAUCCCACUUACUUUCUUCUGUCAGACCCUAUGAAUGAUUCCCAGUUCUGUAUCUUUUUACAGACACUCCUAGUUAGUAAAAUCCAGGCUUUGACCAGAAAGAGUCAGGACUUCCACCCACUACUGAAAAUUAGAGAUUAAUCAAUAACACAAUUAGACCUCCCUAACAAACUGGAUCCUACAUGCCUAUAUACUACUUAAGGUUCAUUUCUGGUUUAAUAAAGCUCUGUUCUCAACA
Molecule: long non-coding RNA, 3340 nt
Organism: Gorilla gorilla gorilla (western lowland gorilla)
Lineage: Eukaryota; Metazoa; Chordata; Mammalia; Primates; Hominidae
Exons: 4
Source: RefSeq, a predicted model, not a curated record